UGAUGUUUUGUGCAGGAAAAGAAGUC
This 26-nucleotide non-coding RNA is filed under the name Rattus norvegicus (Norway rat). The record is from RNAcentral. Lineage: Eukaryota; Metazoa; Chordata; Mammalia; Rodentia; Muridae.